This 577-nucleotide ribosomal RNA is filed under the name uncultured microorganism. Its description in RNAcentral is "bacterial SSU rRNA". It matches the Rfam family "Bacterial small subunit ribosomal RNA", at positions 56 to 677 of the family's 1533-position model. The record is from RNAcentral.
UGCAAGUCGAGCGGGCGUAGCAAUACGUCAGCGGCAGACGGGUGAGUAACGCGUGGGAACAUACCUUUUGGUUCGGAACAACACAGGGAAACUUGUGCUAAUACCGGAUAAGCCCUUACGGGGAAAGAUUUAUCGCCGAAAGAUUGGCCCGCGUCUGAUUAGCUAGUUGGUGAGGUAACGGCUCACCAAGGCGACGAUCAGUAGCUGGUCUGAGAGGAUGAUCAGCCACAUUGGGACUGAGACACGGCCCAAACUCCUACGGGAGGCAGCAGUGGGGAAUAUUGGACAAUGGGCGCAAGCCUGAUCCAGCCAUGCCGCGUGAGUGAUGAAGGCCCUAGGGUUGUAAAGCUCUUUUGUGCGGGAAGAUAAUGACGGUACCGCAAGAAUAAUCCCCGGCUAACUUCGUGCCAGCAGCCGCGGUAAUACGAAGGGGGCUAGCGUUGCUCGUAAUCACUGGGCGUAAAGGGUGCGUAGGCGGGUCUUUAAUUCAUAGGUGAAAUCCUGGAGCUCACCUCCAGAACUGCCUUUGAUACAGAAGAUCUUGAGUUUGGGAGAGGUGAGUGGAACUGCGAGUGUA